RNAcentral lists this ribosomal RNA (433 nucleotides) under uncultured bacterium. RNAcentral's name for it is "partial 16S ribosomal RNA". It matches the Rfam family "Bacterial small subunit ribosomal RNA", at positions 29 to 507 of the family's 1533-position model. The record is from RNAcentral.
AGCGAACGCUGGCGGCAGGCCUAACACAUGCAAGUCGAACGGAUCCUUCGGGAUUAGUGGCGGACGGGUGAGUAACAUGUGGGAACGUGCCCUUUGGUUCGGAACAACUCAGGGAAACUUGAGCUAAUACCGGAUGUGCCCUUCGGGGGAAAGAUUUAUCGCCAUUGGAGCGGCCCGCGUCUGUUUAGCUAGUUGGUGAGGUAACGGCCCACCAAGGCGACGAUCAGUAGCUGGUCUGAGAGGAGGACCAGCCACACUGGGACUGAGACACGGCCCAGACUGCUACGGGAGGCAGCAGUGGGGAAUCUUGCGCAAUGGGCGAAAGCCUGACGCAGCCAUGCCGCGUGAAUGAUGAAGGUCUUAGGAUUGUAAAAUUCUUUCAGCGGGGACGAUAAUGACGGUACCCGCAGAAGAAGCUCCGGCUAACUUCGUG